CUUUGUGGAUACUCAUACGCUCUUUGUAAUCCAUCAAUCUCUGCAGUUAAUCGAUUCAAUCCCUUGGUAAUGAAAUCCUUUCACUUCUGUUCUAAUCAUAUAUUCUUCUCCAAUCAAUCCACGAAUCAGGUACGAUAUCUUCAAUCUUUGUAACUCUGUGAUGUUUCUAAUGUUUCAAGAUCGUUGAAUCCGCCACAGAUUUUGCUCAUCGGUAUGUUCUUCUCCCACCGAUUCAAACCCUAAUUCCGAUUUUAGAUCAGGUUUUGUUGUGAGUAUCGUGAUUUUUGAGUUUAGGGUUUUUUAGUUUCGAAAUUGAUUGAUGCUUAAUAAUUAUGUGAUUAAGAGAUAUGGUCACAGGGGGUUCGGCUUUGUGACCUUUGCUGAGGACGGUGUUGCAGAUCGUGUUUCAAGAAGGUCACUCGAGAUUUGUGGACAACAGUAGUAAAGGAUACAUCAACACCUAUUGAUGAUUACUGAUGAUGGUUGUUCAAGUGGAGGCUGCCACUAUUUGGACAACCCACCUAAACCAGCGAAUGGUUGCUUAUGACAGGAUGUAUGUAAGCUUGGAUUUUGAUGAUGUGGCAUCUAUAAAUCAGAGCGUUAUGGCAGGCUGUUGGGUUUAGCUUUGCGUCAAAGGAGAAAAUGUGGAGGCAGAUGCUUACGUGGAAAAUGAAGCCAUAGUGACUAAAAUGAACCUGUUUUUUGAAGAAGCUUUCCAUUCCUCAUGUGAAGGAAUGAUGGUAAAAUCUCUUGAUGUUGAAGCUGGUUAUCUCCCAUCAAAGUGUUCGGAUUCUUGGUUAAAGGUGAAGCGAGAUUAUGUAGAAGGUUUAAAUGAUUCCUUGGACUUGGUUCCUAUUGGUGCUUGGUCCUAUUGCGAAUGGGGAACAGUAAUCAUCUUGAUCCUUCUCUUUGAUAUUUAUGGAUUUUUAGUUUUAAUUCACUGAACUGUAAAAAUGAUGACGGUUAAACUUUUCACAUGCUCUUUUAUGGCAGGCUGUUGGGUUUACCUUUACGUCAAAGACUAAAAUUUAGGGUUUCUUCAGUUAGGGUAAUGUGAUGAUUGUGGUUCAAGGCUAUCGAUUUGAAGAUAAUGGAUUCCAGCAACCAAAACUUCAACCAAUCAAGUACCGAAUUGAUGAAUCACUGUCACAAAUUUUGGGUCACUACAAUCAGUGUUGACAAUAUAUUCCUUUGGACUAAAUACCUAUGGUUUUGAUUCUCUCUCAAUCGUCGCUGCCAAGAUCUUUCGUUUUCUUUUUCAACUGGUGAUUGAAGCUGAAUAUGGGGAAGGGUUUGAGAUUUUUAGGCCAGAUGGGCCCUUGAAAGUUGAUGUUGAUUUUUUAAAUGAUAGAUUACAAGAGGGUUUUCUAAAAUGGAUUCGAUACGCGAUGAAACCUGAUGAAGCUUAUGGACUUAUUUUCUCAUGGGACAAUGUGAUGAUGAAUUUGUGUAUGGCGGCCAGUCGGGUACUCAAGCUUUAAAAUUGAGUGCUUGGAAAGAACUUGCACGUGAAGAAGGAAAGGAGAUUCCUGAGGAUGAUGAUGUAUAACGGCUUUUGCUCCAUGGUGCUCCUGAUCAUGUUUUGCAUAAGGUGUUGUCGUGGGAGAAUGAAGCAUGUGAAUUGGAAAGAUUAACAUUGAAACUCUCACAGUUAUAUAGCAACAAUCUUCUAAUUUGUUUUUUUUUUCUUUUUUUCUAAUAUACUUAAAUAGUUAAGUUAUUUAAUUUUUGUGUUUGGUGUCAUUACUUUGGAUGAUAACUUGAUUAUUUAAUUGAAAGAAGUGGAUUGUUCCAUCAUUAUCGUUA
Helianthus annuus (common sunflower) is the source of this 1806-nucleotide RNA transcript. RefSeq lists it as uncharacterized. The record is from RefSeq and is a predicted model, not a curated record. NCBI's taxonomy places the organism in Eukaryota, Viridiplantae, Streptophyta, Magnoliopsida, Asterales, Asteraceae. The transcript is spliced from 13 exons.